AUUGAACGCUGGCGGAAUGCUUUACACAUGCAAGUCGAACGGCAGCACGGACUUCGGUCUGGUGGCGAGUGGCGAACGGGUGAGUAAUGUAUCGGAACGUGCCCAGUCGUGGGGGAUAACGUAGUGAAAAUUACGCUAAUACCGCAUACGAUCUAUGGAUGAAAGCGGGGGAUCGCAAGACCUCGCGCGAUUGGAGCGGCCGAAAUCAGAUUAGGUAGUUGGUGGGGUAAAGGCCCACCAAGCCAAAGAUCUGUAGCUGGUCUGCGAGGACGACCAGCCAAACGGGAACUGAGACACGGUCCAGACUCCUACGGGAGGCAGCAGUGGGGAAUUUUGGACAAUGGGCGAAAGCCUGAUCCAGCCAUUCCGCGUGCAGGAUGAAGGCCCUCGGGUUGUAAACUGCUUUUGUACAGAACGAAAAGGUUUCUACUAAUACUAGGAGCUCAUGACGGUACUGUAAGAAUAAGCACCGGCUAACUACGUGCCAGCAGCCGCGGUAA
This 500-nucleotide ribosomal RNA is filed under the name uncultured bacterium. RNAcentral's name for it is "partial 16S ribosomal RNA". It matches the Rfam family "Bacterial small subunit ribosomal RNA", at positions 30 to 523 of the family's 1533-position model. The record is from RNAcentral.